This 766-nucleotide ribosomal RNA is filed under the name uncultured bacterium. RNAcentral describes it as "bacterial SSU rRNA". It matches the Rfam family "Bacterial small subunit ribosomal RNA", at positions 8 to 748 of the family's 1533-position model. The record is from RNAcentral.
AGAGUUUGAUCCUGGCUCAGAACGAACACUGGCGGCAUGGAUUAGGCAUGCAAGUCGAACGAGAAAGCUCUCUUCGGAGAGUGAGUACAGUGGCGAACGGGUGAGUAACAGGUGGAAAACCUGCCCUAUAAUGGGGGAUAACAGUUCUAACGAACUGCUAAUACCGCAUACGACCUUUGGAUCGCAUGUUCCGAAGGUGAAAGGUGGCCUCUCUUUGAAGCUGCCGUUAUAGGAUGGUUCCGCCUCCCAUUAGCUUGUUGGUGGGGUAAUGGCCUACCAAGGCGACGAUGGGUAGCCGGCCUGAGAGGGUGUCCGGCCACACUGGGACUGAGAUACGGCCCAGACUCCUACGGGAGGCAGCAGUCGAGAAGCUUCGGCAAUGGGCGAAAGCCUGACCGAGCGAUGCCGCGUGAGUGAAGAAGGCCCUAUGGGUUGUAAAGCUCUGUCAGAUUGGGAAGAAAACUCUGCGGUUAAUACCCGUAGAGCUUGACGGUACCAUCAGAGGAAGCACCGGCUAACUCCGUGCCAGCAGCCGCGGUAAUACGGAGGGUGCAAGCGUUGUUCGGAUUCACUGGGUAUAAAGGGUGCGCAGGCGGCCCGAUAAGUCAGGGGUGAAAUAUGACGGCUCAACCGUCAAACUGCCCCUGAAACUGUCAGGCUUGAGUUCGAGAGAGGUAGGUGGAAUUCCAGGUGUAGCGGUGAAAUGCGUAAAUAUCUGGAGGAACACCGGUGGCGAAGGCGGCCUACUGGCUCGAUACUGACGCUC